UGCGCGCGUUAAUCGGACUUACUGGGCGUAAAGCGUGCGCAGGCGGUUCGUUAAGUCAGCUGUGAAAGCCCCGGGCUCAACCUGGGAAUUGCGGUUGAAACUGGCGAACUAGAAUCUGGCAGAGGGGGGUGGAAUUCCACGUGUAGCAGUGAAAUGCGUAGAUAUCAGGAGGAACACCGAUGGCGAAGGCAGGUCUCUGGGCUGAUACUGACGCUCAUGCACGAAAGCGUGGGGAGCAAACAGG
This 244-nucleotide ribosomal RNA is filed under the name uncultured bacterium. RNAcentral's name for it is "partial 16S ribosomal RNA". It matches the Rfam family "Bacterial small subunit ribosomal RNA", at positions 533 to 776 of the family's 1533-position model. The record is from RNAcentral.